GUGAAAUUCCGUCGGAAUCUGGGAGGACCAUCUCCUAAGGCUAAAUACUCUCUAGUGACCGAUAGUGAACCAGUACCGUGAGGGAAAGGUGAAAAGCACCCCGGAAGGGGAGUGAAAUAGAACCUGAAACCGUGUGCUUACAAGUAGUCAGAGCCCGUUAAUGGGUGAUGGCGUGCCUUUUGUAGAAUGAACCGGCGAGUUACGAUUUGAUGCAAGGUUAAGCAGUAAAUGUGGAGCCGUAGCGAAAGCGAGUCUGAAUAGGGCGUUUAGUAUUUGGUCGUAGACCCGAAACCAGGUGAUCUACCCUUGGUCAGGUUGAAGUUCAGGUAACACUGAAUGGAGGACCGAACCGACUUACGUUGAAAAGUGAGCGGAUGAACUGAGGGUAGCGGAGAAAUUCCAAUCGAACCUGGAGAUAGCUGGUUCUCUCCGAAAUAGCUUUAGGGCUAGCCUCAAGUGAUGAUUAUUGGAGGUAGAG
This 478-nucleotide ribosomal RNA is filed under the name Staphylococcus aureus. RNAcentral describes it as "partial 23S ribosomal RNA". It matches the Rfam family "Bacterial large subunit ribosomal RNA", at positions 426 to 907 of the family's 2925-position model. The record is from RNAcentral. Lineage: Bacteria; Bacillati; Bacillota; Bacilli; Caryophanales; Staphylococcaceae.